This 174-nucleotide small RNA is filed under the name Chrysemys picta bellii (western painted turtle). RNAcentral describes it as "TUC338 (ENSCPBG00000012309.1)". The record is from RNAcentral. Lineage: Eukaryota; Metazoa; Chordata; Testudines; Emydidae.
ACCACUGCACUAGAGACUGUAGUCCUCUAAUUAUCCAUAGAACUAGUACAGCAUAUUCAGCAGCCCUGCAAGAUUCCCCACUGACUUGCUAAUGUGAUUCACCUGCAACUUGGAAAGCCCAUCCUAGGGUGAGAGGGCAAUUCAGUCUCCAUCCCCAUUUAAGCCCUGAUUCUG